GAAGAGUCUGGAGAAGGCAGUACAGUCCUACAGGUGGGAGAACCCACAGGAAGCAGGGCUAGGCUCUGGGGGGGCCUGAGCUAGGGCCUAUGAGGAGCAGGGAGAGCCCAUGGGGAAACUGCCGGAGUCCCUCGGGAUGGAAGGCAGGCAUUGAGAGGAAACCUGCUGAGGCAAGAAGCAAUCUGGGAAGAAUGCUGCAGGAGAGGGAGGCUCAGCAAAAGCAUGUCUGUGGUGCCUAGGAGGGGCAGGAGAUGUAUUUGGUUCAGCAGAGAAGGGAGAAGCAGAGGCUGUGUUAGACACAGGCUGUGGGGAAGCAGCAUAAGGGGGCUUAGAGCUAGGAAGUGGCCCAGGGAAACAGCAGCAUGUCUGCAGAAGCAGCAAUGCAGGGUCCUGGGGCCAGAACACAGAGCAGAGGGUGGGCCUGGGCUCCCGUGCCAGCUCCUGAGGAAAGGGGCAUGCAAGCCCAGGCUGCUGAGUGAGGGCCGGUUGGAACAUUGCAGUGCAGCCUGAGUGGGCCAGGAGAAUUAUUUGGACACGUAGCUUAGACUGUCAAUCGGACUCUUUUUUGUCACUCUGGAAGGGGAGUGAACUUUGUGAUGUGGCUGAGCUGCAAAAGACCCAACAGGCGGUGCUGGAGAUGAGGGUCGCUUGCAGCAUUGCACCCUGCGGCAAAAGGGCGCUCCCGAGGGUGAUUCUGUGCAGGGGCUUUGUGUUCUCCCUCUGAACUGCUGAUGCCCACUCCUGCCUCCGUUCCAGUCUGAGAGUGUUGUUCAGAGCAGUCACGUCACAUGAGCACAGGGUAGAAGGGGAGGGACACAGACUCUGCCCUCAAGCCACAUGAUAAACCCACACUUGGCUUCUGUAUCAUCCCCUUCUCUCUCUCAAACUCCUCUAAGCCACUCGGUGCCAGGACUAAGCUCACUGUAUACACGCUGCUUAGGAUCCAAGACACUGACUGGAAAACGUCACCUAGUCUGUCCUUUAACCAGCAUGGGACUCUUCUUUCCAGUGUUGUUUUUGUCAGUAAUCUACACACUGAAAAUGGCUUACAGAUGAGGGUCUACAAAUAACCAUUACAUUUCACAUCACCCCAGGGAGAUGAGGGGAACAAGUGUUGGUUUCCCUUGAGCUGCCAUAAGGGAAAGAAGGAGAUGUUCUGUGUAAGGGGGAGUGUUUGUACAUCCAGUUCCUGAAUACAAGCCUAUUAUC
This is a long non-coding RNA of Chelonia mydas (Green sea turtle), 1209 nucleotides long. RefSeq lists it as uncharacterized. The record is from RefSeq and is a predicted model, not a curated record. The transcript has 3 exons. NCBI's taxonomy places the organism in Eukaryota, Metazoa, Chordata, Testudines, Cheloniidae.